UACGAAGGGUGCAAACGUUGCUCGGAAUCAUUGGGCGUAAAGCGCACGUAGGCGGUGGCGUAAGCGGGAUGUGAAAGCCCAGGGCUCAACCCUGGAAGUGCAUCCCGAACUGUGUCGCUUGAAUCUCGGAGGGGGACAGAGAAUUCCCGGUGUAGAGGUGAAAUUCGUAGAUAUCGGGAGGAAUACCAGUGGCGAAGGCGAUGUCCUGGACGAAGAUUGACGCUGAGGUGCGAAAGCGUGGGGAGCAAACAGG
This 253-nucleotide ribosomal RNA is filed under the name uncultured bacterium. RNAcentral describes it as "partial 16S ribosomal RNA". It matches the Rfam family "Bacterial small subunit ribosomal RNA", at positions 524 to 776 of the family's 1533-position model. The record is from RNAcentral.